GGCAAGACAGACAUACACAAAAAAUACAGGCCUACAAUCCCUUAUUCACAUUUCUGAAACCCCAAAACCACACGAAAUUGAAUUCUUUUUCCCAUAACUCAUCUGGUAGCAAAACUUGAACUGAUGUGAGUCUAUUUAUAUAUAUAUAUAUCUCCUGUAUUUAUCCCACUUAAGGUGAAUCCUCAUAUGUUUUGCUUAAGAAAGAUUAAUGGGAUGUUGCCCCAGAUCCCACUGGGGAUGUUAUAUAACGUUAUUGAUUAUACACCAGAUUUCUUUUCUAAAAUCCAAAAAGUUUUGAGUUCUAAAACACAUCUGGCACCAAGGGCUUGGGCUUCGGGUCUGUGGAUGCGUCAUUGUUCACAGACUCUGUCCCAGGAGGAGACCUUGCUGCUGUGGCACCUGCUAUCUUCUAGGACAAAGACUCAGGCUGCACAGUCUCUGCUUAUUGUGAAGAACUUUUCAUUGAAUUCAGAUACUUCUUGUAGAGUGGACACUUGCUUGGUCCAGAGGAGGACACAGGACUCAAGGAAUAGGUCCCUGAUGGACUCAUCCUACAGGGAUCAAGAGAAGAACAGGAAGCCUUUAGGUUUCUGGGAAACAUCCAGGAAUGAAAAACCAGGAUUCAAAGCAGCAAAUAAAUUUGUAUAAUUUUUUGUUAAUAUUGUCUGUUUCCCACCCACAGCACUUAGGAAGAAAGCUGGUAAAAAGAAAAAAAAAAAAAGCAGUGAUUAUUUUUAGGGAUAGCA
RNAcentral lists this long non-coding RNA (746 nucleotides) under Equus caballus (horse). Its description in RNAcentral is "lncRNA (ENSECAG00000034288.3)". The record is from RNAcentral. Lineage: Eukaryota; Metazoa; Chordata; Mammalia; Perissodactyla; Equidae.